This 700-nucleotide ribosomal RNA is filed under the name uncultured bacterium. RNAcentral's name for it is "bacterial SSU rRNA". It matches the Rfam family "Bacterial small subunit ribosomal RNA", at positions 94 to 828 of the family's 1533-position model. The record is from RNAcentral.
AGUGGCGGACGGGUGAGUAACGCGUAAGAAUCUAACUUCAGGACGGGGACAACAGUGGGAAACGACUGCUAAUACCCGAUGUGCCGCGAGGUGAAACCUAAUUGGCCUGAAGAAGAGCUUGCGUCUGAUUAGCUAGUUGGUGGGGUAAGAGCCUACCAAGGCGACGAUCAGUAGCUGGUCUGAGAGGAUGAGCAGCCACACUGGGACUGAGACACGGCCCAGACUCCUACGGGAGGCAGCAGUGGGGAAUUUUCCGCAAUGGGCGAAAGCCUGACGGAGCAACGCCGCGUGAGGGAGGAAGGUCUUUGGAUUGUAAACCUCUUUUCUCAAGGAAGAAGUUCUGACGGUACUUGAGGAAUCAGCCUCGGCUAACUCCGUGCCAGCAGCCGCGGUAAUACGGGGGAGGCAAGCGUUAUCCGGAAUUAUUGGGCGCAAAGCGUCCGCAGGUGGUCAGCCAAGUCUGCCGUCAAAUCAGGUUGCUUAACGACCUAAAGGCGGUGGAAACUGGCAGACUAGAGAGCAGUAGGGGUAGCAGGAAUUCCCAGUGUAGCGGUGAAAUGCGUAGAGAUUGGGAAGAACAUCGGUGGCGAAAGCGUGCUACUGGGCUGUAUCUGACACUCAGGGACGAAAGCUAGGGGAGCGAAAGGGAUUAGAUACCCCUGUAGUCCUAGCCGUAAACGAUGGAUACUAGGCGUGGCUU